GGAGCGUUCUGUAAGCCUGCGAAGGUGUGCUGUGAGGCAUGCUGGAGGUAUCAGAAGUGCGAAUGCUGACAUAAGUAACGAUAAAGCGGGUGAAAAGCCCGCUCGCCGGAAGACCAAGGGUUCCUGUCCAACGUUAAUCGGGGCAGGGUGAGUCGACCCCUAAGGCGAGGCCGAAAGGCGUAGUCGAUGGGAAACAGGUUAAU
RNAcentral lists this ribosomal RNA (203 nucleotides) under Escherichia coli. Its description in RNAcentral is "partial 23S ribosomal RNA". It matches the Rfam family "Bacterial large subunit ribosomal RNA", at positions 1233 to 1434 of the family's 2925-position model. Lineage: Bacteria; Pseudomonadati; Pseudomonadota; Gammaproteobacteria; Enterobacterales; Enterobacteriaceae. The record is from RNAcentral.